AGAGUUUGAUCCUGGCUCACAGUGAACGCUGGCGGUAGGCCUAACACAUGCAAGUCGAACGGCAGCACAGUAAGAGCUUGCUCUUAUGGGUGGCGAGUGGCGGACGGGUGAGGAAUACAUCGGAAUCUACUUUUUCGUGGGGGAUAACGUAGGGAAACUUACGCUAAUACCGCAUACGACCUACGGGUGAAAGCAGGGGAUCUUCGGACCUUGCGCGAUUGAAUGAGCCGAUGUCGGAUUAGCUAGUUGGCGGGGUAAAGGCCCACCAAGGCGACGAUCCGUAGCUGGUCUGAGAGGAUGAUCAGCCACACUGGAACUGAGACACGGUCCAGACUCCUACGGGAGGCAGCAGUGGGGAAUAUUGGACAAUGGGCGCAAGCCUGAUCCAGCCAUACCGCGUGGGUGAAGAAGGCCUUCGGGUUGUAAAGCCCUUUUGUUGGGAAAGAAAUCCAGCCGGCUAAUACCUGGUUGGGAUGACGGUACCCAAAGAAUAAGCACCGGCUAACCUCGUG
RNAcentral lists this ribosomal RNA (512 nucleotides) under uncultured Stenotrophomonas sp. Its description in RNAcentral is "bacterial SSU rRNA". It matches the Rfam family "Bacterial small subunit ribosomal RNA", at positions 8 to 507 of the family's 1533-position model. Lineage: Bacteria; Pseudomonadati; Pseudomonadota; Gammaproteobacteria; Lysobacterales; Lysobacteraceae. The record is from RNAcentral.